CUGACAUGAGUAACGAUAAUGGGGGUGAAAAACCCCCACGCCGGAAGACCAAGGUUUCCUGUCCCAUGCUAAUCAGGGCAGGGUAAGUCGGCCCCUAAGGCGAGGCAGAGAUGCGUAGUCGAUGGGAAACGGGUUAAUAUUCCCGUACUUCAUAUUGUUUCGAUGGGAUGACGCAUGAGGUGAAGCCCGGCCGGUGAAUGGUUGUAUCGGUCGAAGCAGCAAGCUAAUGAGAGGUAUUGGCAAAUCCGUACCUUGAGGCAAGCUGUGAACGCGAGUGGAGCUACGGCAAAGCGAAGCGGGUGUAGUCACGGUGCCAAGAAAUAAUCUCUAAGGUUAGGCAAUAUGAAACCGUACCGCAAACCGACACAGGUAGGCGAGAUGAGUAUUCUCAGGCGCGCGAGAGAAUUCACGUUAAGGAACUCGGCAAAAUACACACGUAACUUCGGGAUAAGUGUGGCCUCAGCUGGAUCGGUAACGGUUUAGAGGAGGUUGCAGAGAAGAGGUUCAAGCGACUGUUUACCAAAAACACAGGUCUCUGCGA
RNAcentral lists this ribosomal RNA (541 nucleotides) under Symbiodinium sp. clade D. RNAcentral describes it as "partial Bacterial large subunit ribosomal RNA". It matches the Rfam family "Bacterial large subunit ribosomal RNA", at positions 1297 to 1828 of the family's 2925-position model. Lineage: Eukaryota; Dinophyceae; Suessiales; Symbiodiniaceae. The record is from RNAcentral.